CGGCGACUAAUCUGAGUAUNUAGUGGGCCAUUUUUNGUAAGCAGAACUGGCGCUGUGGGAUGAACCAAACGUCGAGUUAAGGGGCCUAAAUGAAUGCUCAUUCAGAUCCCAUCGAAAGGCGUUGGUUGCUAUAGACAGCAGGACGGUGGCCAUGGAAGUUGGAAUCCGCUAAGGAGUGUGUAACAACUCACCUGCCGAAGCAACUAGCCCUUAAAAUGGUAUGGCGCUCAAGCAUUCUCCCGAUACUCGACCGCCGGGGCACUAGCGGCCACGCCCGAGAGGCGAGGUCUCGAAGCCCCGGUGAGUAAGAGGGUCGCAGUGGUGAGCGCUGAAGGGAUCCGGCGUGAGCCGGCCUGGAGCCGCCACUGGUGCAGAUCUUGGUGGUAGUAGCAAAUACUCGAGAGAGACUCCCUUGAAGACCGAAGUGGAGAAGGGUUCCAUGUGAACAUCAGUUGGACAUGGGUUAGUCGCUCCUAAGCCCAAGGCUAAGGCCUGAUCCCACGCUAGCGGC
RNAcentral lists this ribosomal RNA (511 nucleotides) under Astacopsis tricornis. RNAcentral describes it as "eukaryotic LSU rRNA". It matches the Rfam family "Eukaryotic large subunit ribosomal RNA", at positions 1103 to 1582 of the family's 3401-position model. The record is from RNAcentral. Lineage: Eukaryota; Metazoa; Arthropoda; Malacostraca; Decapoda; Parastacidae.